CCUACGGGCGGCAGCAGUGAGGAAUAUUGGUCAAUGGGCGGAAGCCUGAACCAGCCAAGUAGCGUGCGGGAUGAAGGCCCUACGGGUCGUAAACCGCUUUUGCACGGGGAUAACACCCUCCACUUGUGGAGGUCUGUAGGUACCGUGCGAAUAAGGGCCGGCUAAUUCCGUGCCAGCAGCCGCGGUAAUACGGAAGGCCCGAGCGUUAUCCGGAUUUAUUGGGUUGAAAGGGUGCGUAGGCGGACGCUUAAGUCAGCGGUAAAAUUGCGGGGCUCAACCUCGUCGAGCCGUUGAAACUGGGGGCCUUGAGUGGGCGAGAAGUACGCGGAAUGCGUGGUGUAGCGGUGAAAUGCAUAGAUAUCACGCAGAACUCCGAUGGCGAAGGCAGCGUACCGGCGCCCAACUGACGCUGAAGCACGAAGGCGUGGGUAUCGAACAGGAUUAGAUACCCCUGUAGUC
Molecule: ribosomal RNA, 459 nt
Filed under: uncultured bacterium
Lineage: Bacteria
Description: partial 16S ribosomal RNA
Rfam family: Bacterial small subunit ribosomal RNA
Source: RNAcentral